CAAAACAAAGCUACUUUCGGUUUGAAAUACUGCAGAUAUGCACUAUACUAUUAAUACUACUUUAAGCCACUCGGUAUAUUUAAACAACAGUUGGGUUCAAUUUAAAGGCUACAUUUGACGCGAUGAUAUCAUUCCGGCUGAGGAAUGAACACUGCGGACAAGAGUAAAAAGCUUCUCUGGACGCAACAUCAUGGUAACUAUAGCAUACAUGAUCAAUCACGUGGGCCAGCUUUGCAGUCAGAAAGUUUCACUGCGCAGUGUACAGCUGAGAUUACAGGAAACAGUGAUGCGGCAGGAGUUUCAUGGCAAGAACAAAAUUGUCAGUCUAUUAAACAACAAAGGUGUGAAGUUCUAAACGACCAAACCCCAAACGAGGAUACUGGGAAAAUAUCGGAAAUGGAAGUACAAUGUGAAGCUCGCGAGGACGAUAUUUGU
Long non-coding RNA from Mercenaria mercenaria, 435 nucleotides. RefSeq lists it as uncharacterized. The record is from RefSeq and is a predicted model, not a curated record. The transcript is spliced from 3 exons. Lineage: Eukaryota; Metazoa; Mollusca; Bivalvia; Venerida; Veneridae.